This 84-nucleotide transfer RNA is filed under the name Thermomicrobiales bacterium. Its description in RNAcentral is "tRNA-Leu". It matches the Rfam family "tRNA". From Rfam's summary of the family: Transfer RNA (tRNA) molecules are approximately 80 nucleotides in length. Their secondary structure includes four short double-helical elements and three loops (D, anti-codon, and T loops). RNAcentral also lists the same sequence under 2 other names. Lineage: Bacteria; Pseudomonadati; Thermomicrobiota; Thermomicrobia; Thermomicrobiales. The record is from RNAcentral.
GCCGAAGUGGCGGAACGGCAGACGCGCUACGUUCAGGGCGUAGUGGGGAGACCCGUGGGAGUUCGAAUCUCCCCUUCGGCACCA